This 465-nucleotide ribosomal RNA is filed under the name uncultured bacterium. RNAcentral describes it as "partial 16S ribosomal RNA". It matches the Rfam family "Bacterial small subunit ribosomal RNA", at positions 28 to 507 of the family's 1533-position model. The record is from RNAcentral.
GACGAACGCUGGCGGCGUGCUUAACACAUGCAAGUCGAACGGAAAGGCCCUGCUUGCAGGGUACUCGAGUGGCGAACGGGUGAGUAACACGUGGGUGAUCUGCCCUGCACUUCGGGAUAAGCCUGGGAAACUGGGUCUAAUACCGGAUAGGAGCCAUUUUUAGUGUGAUGGUUGGAAAGUUUUUUCGGUGUAGGAUGAGCUCGCGGCCUAUCAGCUUGUUGGUGGGGUAAUGGCCUACCAAGGCGGCGACGGGUAGCCGGCCUGAGAGGGUGGACGGCCACAUUGGGACUGAGAGACGGCCCAGACUCCUACGGGAGGCAGCAGUGGGGAAUAUUGCACAAUGGGCGCAAGCCUGAUGCAGCGACGCCGCGUGGGGGAUGACGGCCUUCGGGUUGUAAACUCGUUUCGCUAGGGACGAAGCUUUUUGUGACGGUACCUAGAGAAGAAGCACCGGCUAACUACGUG